Molecule: ribosomal RNA, 442 nt
Filed under: uncultured bacterium
Lineage: Bacteria
Description: partial 16S ribosomal RNA
Rfam family: Bacterial small subunit ribosomal RNA
Source: RNAcentral
CCUACGGGAGGCUGCAGUAGGGAAUCUUUCACAAUGGGCGAAAGCCUGAUGGAGCAACGCCGCGUGCAGGAUGAAGGCCUUCGGGUUGUAAACUGCUUUUAUCAGCGAGGAAUAUGAUGGUAACUUAUGAAUAAGGAUCGGCUAACUACGUGCCAGCAGCCGCGGUCAUACGUAGGAUCCGAGCAUUAUCCGGAGUGACUGGGUGUAAAGAGUUGCGUAGGUGGCAUAAUAAGUAGCUAGUGAAAUCUGGUGGCUCAACCAUUCAGACUAUUAGCUAAACUGUUAAGCUCGAGACCGUUAGGGGUAACUGGAAUUUCUAGUGUAGGAGUGAAAUCCGUAGAUAUUAGAAGGAACACCAAUAGCGUAGGCAGGUUGCUGGGACGGGUCUGACACUAAGGCACGAAAGCGUAGGGAGCAAACGGGAUUAGAUACCCUUGUAGUC